AGCUAUGAGCUACCACAUAAGAAGUCCAACAUCCUGAGGCUACCAUGCUGUGAGGAAGCCCAGGCCACUAGAAGAGGCCAUGUGUAGGUGUUCCAGCUGGCAAUCCUACUGAGAUCUGAGUAGACAGCCUGCAGCAAUCACUAGAUAUGAAAGUAAAGAUGCUCUCUGAUGAUUUCAGGCCUGAUCUUAGAGCCUUCCAUGUCAAGGUUUCAGUUAUCGAGGAGCAGAAGCAGACCUGUUGUGCCAUGUCCAAAUUUCUGAUCCACAGAAUCAGGUGCAUCUCGGUGGAGCCAAGACAAAAUUCCAGGUGUCCCAGCUGUUACAGAUAUAAGGCCCCCUUCCAGUGAAUAUCACUCCUGUGACAGUGUGGUGGGGUUGGGGAUGGAGAAGGAGCACUUGAGUUUGCUUCUCUAGAUGCUGCACUUCAUAAUCCCUAGGACAGCAUGAGCUGGAGUCAGUGCCCGAGCCUUGGGAGUGUCUCCCACCUAAACUACCAGUACACAUGGGGACAGAUGUCUUCAGAGACCUGGGGUCUCCCAAAGGCCCUGGGGUGUGGACUGCCUGAGAGGCCGGCUCCCUGGUAGAGACAGGCUUCUUGGGAAUGGGCACCUGGCAAAUUUUGUGAGAUGCCAAGUGUUAACCCAAACCAAUAUGGAUAUUUUCCCUAAACACAUUGCUAGACAGACUGUAAACUUGGUGUCAGCAAAACCAACACUGGAAUGGAAAACAAAUGCAUUUGAAAUUUAACAACUUGUAUUGCUGGAACAUUUGUAAUAAUGUCAAUGCCGGUGCUAAUGAUGCUAUGAAGACUCAGAACCAAGGGGCUUUCAAGGUUUAUUAAUUCAACUAGUUGGACUCCCUUUUCCAAUGUAUCUUACCUCACCUAUUCCCUUAUUAACCUCUGAUAAUGCAGAAGUGAUGCCUUUUAUCACACCCCAUUUCACCAGACGCACUAUACUUAAUUUCCCAUCAUUAGGUUUAAUGAAAACCCAAUUUCACAACUCACUUCUCUCAGGAACCUACAAGUAAUGCUACGUUUUUAUCAGCCCCAAUUAAAAAACGUUAUGAUGUUCCUA
Canis lupus familiaris (dog) is the source of this 1076-nucleotide long non-coding RNA. RefSeq lists it as uncharacterized. The record is from RefSeq and is a predicted model, not a curated record. Lineage: Eukaryota; Metazoa; Chordata; Mammalia; Carnivora; Canidae. The transcript has 3 exons.